GAUGAACGCUGGCGGCGUGCCUAAUACAUGCAAGUCGAGCGAACGGACGAGAAGCUUGCUUCUCUGAUGUUAGCGGCGGACGGGUGAGUAACACGUGGAUAACCUACCUAUAAGACUGGGAUAACUUCGGGAAACCGUAGCUAAUACCGGAUAAUAUUUUGAACCGCAUGGUUCAAAAGUGAAAGACGGUCUUGCUGUCACUUAUAGAUGGAUCCGCGCUGCAUUAGCUAGUUGGUAAGGUAACGGCUUACCAAGGCAACGAGGCAUAGCCGACCUGAGAGGGUGAUCGGCCACACUGGAACUGAGACGCGGUCCAGACUCCUACGGGAGGCAGCAGUAGGGAAUCUUCCGCAAUGGGCGAAAGCCUGACGGAGCAACGCCGCGUGAGUGAUGAAGGUCUUCGGAUCGUAAAACUCUGUUAUUAGGGAAGAACAUAUGUGUAAGUAACUGUGCACAUCUUGACGGUACCUAAUCAGAAAGCCACGGCUAACUACGUG
Molecule: ribosomal RNA, 497 nt
Filed under: uncultured bacterium
Lineage: Bacteria
Description: partial 16S ribosomal RNA
Rfam family: Bacterial small subunit ribosomal RNA
Source: RNAcentral